Molecule: ribosomal RNA, 362 nt
Filed under: uncultured bacterium
Lineage: Bacteria
Description: bacterial SSU rRNA
Rfam family: Bacterial small subunit ribosomal RNA
Source: RNAcentral
AACGAACGCUGGCGGCAUGCCUAACACAUGCAAGUCGAACGAGACCUUCGGGUCUAGUGGCGCACGGGUGCGUAACGCGUGGGAACCUGCCUUUAGGUUCGGAAUAACUCAGAGAAAUUUGAGCUAAUACCGGAUAAUGUCUUCGGACCAAAGAUUUAUCGCCUUUAGAUGGGCCCGCGUUGGAUUAGCUAGUUGGUGGGGUAAAGGCCUACCAAGGCGACGAUCCAUAGCUGGUCUGAGAGGAUGAUCAGCCACACUGGGACUGAGACACGGCCCAGACUCCUACGGGAGGCAGCAGUGGGGAAUAUUGGACAAUGGGCGAAAGCCUGAUCCAGCAAUGCCGCGUGAGUGAAGAAGGCCUC